UGUAUAAUUUUUUUAACUGGCAUAAUUUUUUACAGAUGUUUAUCUAAAAAUAGUAGUGCCAUUGUUGAAAUAGAAGUCAAUAGAAUAAUUUGUCUAGAACUAUUUAAAGAUUUCAAAGAUUUGGGUAGAUUUAUGUUAAGGUCUGGUGGUUCAACUGUAGCUGCUGGUUUAGUGACAGAAAUCAAGUAGCAUUAAAUCUUUUGGUUAAUGCUUAUUGAAAUGAAUACCUGGCGAUAACGAUACUCAUUUAAGUACAUUUGGAUAUUUUGUAAUAUAUUUUUAUUAUUCAAUUGUUAAAUUUGCAAAUAUUUUGCAUCAAUAAAAAAAUAUUAAAAUCUU
Parasteatoda tepidariorum (common house spider) is the source of this 339-nucleotide non-coding RNA. The record is from RefSeq and is a predicted model, not a curated record. NCBI's taxonomy places the organism in Eukaryota, Metazoa, Arthropoda, Arachnida, Araneae, Theridiidae.